GGAGCAGUCCGUCUUCAAGGUCCAGAUAACAUGAGAAAUGAAGCUUCUCACAUCGUUGUUGGGGAUGACGGACUGUAGUUGAUGGGUUAGCGGAAUUUCAAACUGAUCACCUGGGGAUGAGAGCAAUGGGUAACUGAAGCUUUUGGGCUCGGGGGACAGGUCAGUGCCCACGUUGUUGUAUUCCCAUUUUGUCUCAGUUUGUUUAACAGUUGGCUCUAAGUUGAAUGCAGUCCUAGUGGGAAUCUGCCUCAGGAAGAUGAUUGUAGUUUGUGUUUUCAGAGAUGGUGCCUUCUGGCAUAGUAGUGUUUUCCAUAAAAACGUUUUCUUCAGAGGCAUUUCUUGCAGUUGUGUUUUUUACAGUAGUGUUUUCUAUAAAACAUUCUGAAGGAGCAAAUACUUCUGGAAAAGGGUUUUCUUGAGGACUCAGGUCUCCUGAGGAUGAAAAAGCCCCUUGUGAAGGGGAAUUUAUGAGGCUCUUCACUGCAGAGAACGGCGGCCUCUUUGCGAGCAUCAGUCUAUUGAGAUAACUUUUCUUUCUCAAUUUUCUAAUCUUUUUGGCCUUGGGUGUUCUGUGGGCCACACGGGAGUGAGUUUUAUGAAAGUGGUAUUUUUUUCUGGAAUGUACUACUCGUUUAGCAGCCUUCAUAUUUUUUAACUCUAGCCUUUGCAUUUUCUAAAAUUAAAAUGGUGUAGGCUAAGUCUUUCAAUCUGUCUAUGACCUGAGGUAGGGCUUUUGCAGUUGUGGAAGGCAGAAGGCAUGCCCAUGGAGAAGGGUUUCAGCAAAGAGGAGACUGUUGGCUUCUGCUCUUGGGUGAAUGAAGGCUUGGUGUAGACGGCGUUUCCCGCUACGUUCUCGGGCCCCUGCACUAUGUGAGGCUAUUCCAGCUCCCUUGGGGCUGGACUCCCGAGCCUUUUUUCUUUGGCAGCAUUCUCCCCAAAUGCCUGGGCACCCUGUUCCCUCCUGAUACUCUGCUUUCCCACCGCUUUGAAGGGCCUUUUCUGGAUGCUCCUUGGGCCCAUGAGGACUCUGUUCACUCUCUGCAGGUUUUUGCCUACACUUUGAACCUUUGCCAGGCUGUUUUCCUGUGGUUGGACAGUUUCUAAUUUCUUUUCAAAUAUUUGGCAUUUAAAUUUGUUACCUAGAAGGCUGGACUGCAUAAGCAUGGCAGUUUUUUCUUCCCUUUUAACUUCAUCGAUUUUUUUCUUGUAUUUCUGCAUCUAACAUCUUUUCUAGCAAAUACACCUUUCUCAAUUUAUUUUCAUAAGUUGAAUUGUUGGAUGCAGGUUGAAACAAGGGGCUCUUUGUAUUGUUUUUCAAAACAGGAGCUUAUCUCCAUCUUGCACAUUUGAAAAAAGCAGUUUAAUGAAUGGUAACAACAUUGAUUCCGCAUCUAGAUUUCCUGCUGAGAAAUAAGGCAAGAUGUAAUUUAGCGCAGUGAUAACAUCACUCUUAUCAUAAGUGUCUAGCUGCUCACUCCCAAAGACUGACAAGUUGAUGCCACUGCUGUCUGAGGCUGCCUCCGGCUCAGUAGUCAGCUCAAUGCUCAUGUGCUUCUUCUGGGCUUGUAACACCUUCAUGAACACUCUUUCUGGAUUCCCUACAGAUGCUUCUUCACCUGUCAAAAAAAAGAGACUGCUUUGAUCAUGAAAGAUAAUGGAACGGCAUGCAUCAGUCCACAGCUGUAUGCCCCAGUCACACAAAGUAGGAGUCAGCAAACAUUAGAGUGCCAUUCAGAGAGGAGAAACACACACCCAAGCCUAAAUCUAUGAAAUGGCAACAACAAAAGGAGGAAAAGACAUCUUUUGAAAAUAUGGCUACUUACUUGGAACAUUCCUAGUGUGACAUAGAGUAACUCUGCUUAGGAUUAUUUCGUUGAUCCCCAGGGGCCAAUUGCCCAGUGCUCAGUCAAAGCCCAAGGUGGAAGACAAGUGCUUCCCUGAUGAGCUGUCCUCUCUGCAGACUGCUCCGUACCCUGUGCUGUCCUGCCUCAGAUGCAGAGAGAGCACAAGCCUCCCUCCUCAUCCUCAGUGUGCCUGUGUUCUUACUACCAUCACAGCUGAAUGCAAUGAAAGGCUAUCCUCUGAGAGGAGCAGGGUGGAGAUGCUAAAGUGGAGGCCCCCUCCCAUUGCUGAUAGAUCCUCAUCUGGCAUGCACUCCACCCACCCACCCCAUUCUCUGCUACCACAUAUCGUAGCCCCAUUAAAGAAGAAGUGACAUGGAAAAAACACUGUGCCCACCCUAGUCCUUUUCUUAAAUUUGGGCAGAGAUCCAGGGUAUAGGUUAAGAGAUUUUUAAUUUGCCAGAUGGUAUGCCUAUGUUGUUAAAUAUACAAUGAAUCUAUGGUAUGAUAGCAGUUUCUGGAUAAACAUUACUUGAGGUCCUAAAAUGCAGAAGGGAAAAAGCAGCUUUUGUCAGAUGCUUACUUUGCUUUCAUUUCAUCUCUAAUAUUUUGGAUGGGGAACCAUCCAAAGCUUCUGGCCGCAUGAAGGUCAAGUGUGCCAGUGUGCAGCUGGGUUUCUUUUCCAGAAUUAAAAGUAUUUUGGGUGGUGCUGAGGGUCAGAGGAAGAAGUAAAAAUUGUGAGAAAGGAGAAACAUGGGCUUGGGGAGAACCCAGAAUUGGGGACAGAAGACCUGGCACUAAGCUAUAGCACUUAGCACCUCUGAUCUUGUUUUUCCUCGUCCGUAAAAGGAGAUUAACAAUGCUUUUCUGCCCACCUCUUGGGGAGAAGGGAAUAAUUUAGUUGGUAAAAAAAAAACUUUUGAAUAAUAAGCAACUCUGUCUUUAUAUAAGUAGCCAAGCAUUAUUAAUUAUCCACCCCAUAUCACUGGUAGAUACCUGUAUUCAAGCUAUGUGGACAUAAAAGCAGUCACAUUUUAGAAGUCAUGAAGUUGGUGCUAAUAAACCUAAUCUACAGAAAAA
Molecule: long non-coding RNA, 2921 nt
Filed under: Homo sapiens (human)
Lineage: Eukaryota; Metazoa; Chordata; Mammalia; Primates; Hominidae
Description: novel transcript
Source: RNAcentral